CGUUCAACCGCAAAAGAAGCAGAGGGGGCUUAGUGGUGGGGUGACUGCGUACCUUUUGUAUAAUGGGUCAGCGACUUAUAUUCUGUAGCAAGGUUAACCGCAUAGGGGAGCCGGAGGGAAACCGAGUCUUAAUUGGGCGUUAAGUUGCAGGGUAUAGACCCGAAACCCGGUGAUCUAGCCAUGGGCAGGUUGAAGGUUGGGUAACACUAACUGGAGGACCGAACCGACUAAUGUUGAAAAAUUAGCGGAUGACCUGUGGCUGGGGGUGAAAGGCCAAUCAAACCGGGAGAUAGCUGGUUCUCCCCGAAAGCUAUUUAGGUAGCGCCUCGUGAAUUCAUCUCCGGGGGUAGAGCACUGUUUCGGCCAGGGGGCCAUCCCGGCUUACCAAUCCGAUGCAAACUGCGAAUACCGGAGAAUGUUAUCACGGGAGACACACGGCGGGUGCUAACGUCCGUCGUGAAGAGGGAAACAACCCAGACCGCCAGCUAAGGUCCCAAAGUCAUGGUUAAGUGGGAAACGAUGUGGGAAGGCCCAGACAGCCAGGAUGUUGGCUUAGAAGCAGCCAUCAUUUAAAGAAAGCGUAAUAGCUCACUGGUCGAGUCGGCCUGCGCGGAAGAUGUAACGGGGCUAAACCAUGCACCGAAGCUGCGGCAGCGACACUGAUGUGUUGUUGGGUAGGGGAGCGUUCUGUAAGCCGUUGAAGGUGGCCUGUGAGGGUUGCUGGAGGUAUCAGAAGUGCGAAUGCUGACAUAAGUAACGAUAAAGCGGGUGAAAAGCCCGCUCGCCGGAAGACCAAGGGUUCCUGUCCAACGUUAAUCGGGGCAGGGUGAGUCGACCCCUAAGGCGAGGCCGAAAGGCGUAGUCGAUGGGAAACGGGUUAAUAUUCCCGUACUUGGUGUUACUGCGAAGGGGGGACGGAGAAGGCUAUGUUGGCCGGGCGACGGUUGUCCCGGUUUAAGCGUGUAGGUGUGUGUUCCAGGUAAAUCCGGUUCACUUUAACACUGAGGCGUGACGACGAGGCACUACGGUGCUGAAGCAACAAAUGCCCUGCUUCCAGGAAAAGCCUCUAAGCCUCAGGUAACAUCAAAUCGUACCCCAAACCGACACAGGUGGUCAGGUAGAGAAUACCAAGGCGCUUGAGAGAACUCGGGUGAAGGAACUAGGCAAAAUGGUGCCGUAACUUCGGGAGAAGGCACGCUGACACGUAGGUGAAGUGGUUUACCCAUGGAGCUGAAGUCAGUCGAAGAUACCAGCUGGCUGCAACUGUUUAUUAAAAACACAGCACUGUGCAAACACGAAAGUGGACGUAUACGGUGUGACGCCUGCCCGGUGCCGGAAGGUUAAUUGAUGGGGUCAGCGCAAGCGAAGCUCCUGAUCGAAGCCCCGGUAAACGGCGGCCGUAACUAUAACGGUCCUAAGGUAGCGAAAUUCCUUGUCGGGUAAGUUCCGACCUGCACGAAUGGCGUAAUGAUGGCCAGGCUGUCUCCACCCGGGACUCAGUGAAAUUGAACUCGCUGUGAAGAUGCAGUGUACCCGCGGCAAGACGGAAAGACCCCGUGAACCUUUACUAUAGCUUGACACUGAACACUGGUCCUUGAUGUGCAGGAUAGGUGGGAGGCUUUGAAGUGUGGACGCCAGUCUGCAUGGAGCCAUCCUUGAAAUACCACCCUUUAAUGGCUGGUGUUCUAACGUGGGCCCGUGAACCGGGUUGCGGACAGUGUCUGGUGGGUAGUUUGACUGGGGCGGUCUCCUCCUAAAGAGUAACGGAGGAGCACGAAGGUUGGCUAAUCCUGGUCGGACAUCAGGAGGUUAGUGCAAUGGCAUAAGCCAGCUUGACUGCGAGCGUGACGGCGCGAGCAGGUGCGAAAGCAGGUCAUAGUGAUCCGGUGGUUCUGAAUGGAAGGGCCAUCGCUCAACGGAUAAAAGGUACUCCGGGGAUAACAGGCUGAUACCGCCCAAGAGUUCAUAUCGACGGCGGUGUUUGGCACCUCGAUGUCGGCUCAUCACAUCCUGGGGCUGAAGUAGGUCCCAAGGGUAUGGCUGUUCGCCAUUUAAAGUGGUACGCGAGCUGGGUUUAGAACGUCGUGAGACAGUUCGGUCCCUAUCUGCCGUGGGCGCUGGAAGAUUGAGGGGGGCUGCUCCUAGUACGAGAGGACCGGAGUGGACGCAUCACUGGUGUUCGGGUUGUCAUGCCAAUGGCACUGCCCGGUAGCUACAUGCGGAAGAGAUAAGUGCUGAAAGCAUCUAAGCACGAAACUUGCCCCGAGAUGAAUCUUCCCUGAGCCUUUAAGGCUCCUGAAGGAACGUUGAAGACGACGACGUUGAUAGGCCGGGUGUGUAAGCGCAGCGAUGCGUUGAGCUAACCGGUACUAAUGAACCGUGAGGCUUAACCUU
Molecule: ribosomal RNA, 2394 nt
Filed under: Salmonella enterica
Lineage: Bacteria; Pseudomonadati; Pseudomonadota; Gammaproteobacteria; Enterobacterales; Enterobacteriaceae
Description: partial 23S ribosomal RNA
Rfam family: Bacterial large subunit ribosomal RNA
Source: RNAcentral